RNAcentral lists this ribosomal RNA (627 nucleotides) under uncultured Lachnospiraceae bacterium. RNAcentral's name for it is "bacterial SSU rRNA". It matches the Rfam family "Bacterial small subunit ribosomal RNA", at positions 89 to 734 of the family's 1533-position model. The record is from RNAcentral. Lineage: Bacteria; Bacillati; Bacillota; Clostridia; Lachnospirales; Lachnospiraceae.
GACUGAGUGGCGGACGGGUGAGUAACGCGUGGGUAACCUGCCUCAUACAGGGGGAUAACAGUUAGAAAUGACUGCUAAUACCGCAUAAGCGCACAGUGCUGCAUGGCACAGUGUGAAAAACUCCGGUGGUAUGAGAUGGACCCUCGUCUGAUUAGCUAGUUGGUGGGGUAACGGCCUACCAAGGCGACGAUCAGUAGCCGGCCUGAGAGGGUGAACGGCCACAUUGGGACUGAGACACGGCCCAAACUCCUACGGGAGGCAGCAGUGGGGAAUAUUGCACAAUGGGGGAAACCCUGAUGCAGCGACGCCGCGUGAGCGAAGACGUAUUUCGGUAUGUAAAGCUCUAUCAGCAGGGAAGAAAAUGACGGUACCUGACUAAGAAGCACCGGCUAAAUACGUGCCAGCAGCCGCGGUAAUACGUAUGGUGCAAGCGUUAUCCGGAUUUACUGGGUGUAAAGGGAGCGUAGACGGUUGUGUAAGUCUGAUGUGAAAGCCCGGGGCUCAACCCCGGGACUGCAUUGGAAACUAUGUAACUAGAGUGUCGGAGAGGUAAGCGGAAUUCCUAGUGUAGCGGUGAAAUGCGUAGAUAUUAGGAGGAACACCAGUGGCGAAGGCGGCUUACUGGAC